UCGCUUUGACAGCACAUAUACUAAAAUUGGAAUGAUACAGAGAAGAUUAGUAUGGCCCCUGUGCAAGGAUGACACGCAAAUUCAUGAAGCAUUCCAUAUUUUU
This 103-nucleotide small nuclear RNA is filed under the name Cervus hanglu yarkandensis (Yarkand deer). The record is from RNAcentral. Lineage: Eukaryota; Metazoa; Chordata; Mammalia; Artiodactyla; Cervidae.